This 148-nucleotide unclassified non-coding RNA is filed under the name soil metagenome. Its description in RNAcentral is "partial internal transcribed spacer 1". The record is from RNAcentral.
UCAAAAGUCAGUCGGGAGCCCUAGUGGCUGCCGUCUACACCCAAGUCUUUUGUGUACUCAUUGUUUCCUCGGCGGCGUAAGUCGCCGAGUGGACAAACUAAAACCUUUUUGUAAUUGCAAUCAGCGUCAUUAAAUAUAAUAAUAUUUA